This 345-nucleotide unclassified non-coding RNA is filed under the name soil metagenome. RNAcentral's name for it is "partial contains 5.8S ribosomal RNA, internal transcribed spacer 2, and large subunit ribosomal RNA". The stretch from base 1 to 120 matches the Rfam family "5.8S ribosomal RNA", at positions 35 to 154 of the family's 154-position model. The record is from RNAcentral.
GAUGAAGAACGUAGCGAAAUGCGAUACGUAAUGUGAAUUGCAGAAUUCAGUGAAUCAUCGAGUCUUUGAACGCACAUUGCGCCCCCUGGUAUUCCGGGGGGCAUGCCUGUCCGAGCGUCAUUGCUGCCCUCAAGCACGGCUUGUGUGUUGGGCCUCCGUCCUCCUCCCGGGGGACGGGCCCGAAAGGCAGCGGCGGCACCGCGUCCGGUCCUCGAGCGUAUGGGGCUUCGUCACCCGCUCUUGUAGGCCCGGCCGGCGCUUGCCGACACAUCAAUCGUUUUUCCAGGUUGACCUCGGAUCAGGUAGGGAUACCCGCUGAACUUAAGCAUAUCAAUAAGCGGAGGA